AAGCAGUUGGUAUAAUGCAGAGCACAUGGGUUGUUUCUUGCCUCCAAGACCCUUCAUGAACAUUUCCAGAUGGAUCCACAGUAUCUGUGAAACCAGCU
This is a long non-coding RNA of Xenia sp. Carnegie-2017, 98 nucleotides long. RefSeq lists it as uncharacterized. The transcript has 3 exons. The record is from RefSeq and is a predicted model, not a curated record. NCBI's taxonomy places the organism in Eukaryota, Metazoa, Cnidaria, Anthozoa, Malacalcyonacea, Xeniidae.